RNAcentral lists this ribosomal RNA (464 nucleotides) under uncultured Klebsiella sp. RNAcentral describes it as "bacterial SSU rRNA". It matches the Rfam family "Bacterial small subunit ribosomal RNA", at positions 339 to 795 of the family's 1533-position model. Lineage: Bacteria; Pseudomonadati; Pseudomonadota; Gammaproteobacteria; Enterobacterales; Enterobacteriaceae. The record is from RNAcentral.
CCUCGGGUGGCAGCAGUGGGGAAUAUUGCACAAUGGGCGCAAGCCUGAUGCAGCCACGCCGCGUGUGUGAAGAAGGCCUUCGGGUUGUAAAGCACUUUCAGCGGGGAGGAAGGCGGUGAGGUUAAUAACCUCAUCGAUUGACGUUACCCGCAGAAGAAGCACCGGCUAACUCCGUGCCAGCAGCCGCGGUAAUACGGAGGGUGCAAGCGUUAAUCGGAAUUACUGGGCGUAAAGCGCACGCAGGCGGUCUGUCAAGUCGGAUGUGAAAUCCCCGGGCUCAACCUGGGAACUGCAUUCGAAACUGGCAGGCUAGAGUCUUGUAGAGGGGGGUAGAAUUCCAGGUGUAGCGGUGAAAUGCGUAGAGAUCUGGAGGAAUACCGGUGGCGAAGGCGGCCCCCUGGACAAAGACUGACGCUCAGGUGCGAAAGCGUGGGGAGCAAACAGGAUUAGAUACCCGUGUAGUC